Molecule: ribosomal RNA, 504 nt
Filed under: uncultured eukaryote
Lineage: Eukaryota
Description: bacterial SSU rRNA
Rfam family: Eukaryotic small subunit ribosomal RNA
Source: RNAcentral
CAAUAGCGUAUAUUAAAGUUGUUGCAGUUAAAAAGCUCGUAGUUGGAUUUCUGGUGGGAGUGUUUGGCCGGCUCAAUGAGUCUUGUGCCUAUAUGCUUCUGCCAUCCUUGGGGAAAACUUGCUUGGCAUUAGGUUGUCGAGUUUGGGAUCCCCAUCGUUUACUGUGAAAAAUUAGAGUGUUCAAAGCAGGCUUAUGCCGUUGAAUACAUUAGCAUGGAAUAAUAAGAUAGGACCUUGGUACUAUUUUGUUGGUUUGCGUACCUAGGUAAUGAUUAAUAGGGACAGUUGGGGGUAUUCGUAUUCAAUUGUCAGAGGUGAAAUUCUCGAUUUGUUAAAGACGACUAUGCGAAAGCAUUUGCCAAGGAUGUUUUUCAUUUAGUACUACGAAACGGAAAACGUUAAAGGGGUUAAGGGUACUAAACGGAAAGUACGGAAUUCCAAGGAAUUAACCCCGUACUUCGUAGGAACGUACGUCCGAACCGGAACGGACCAACCAACGGGGAA